AACGAAAUAAACCUUCACAAUCACAACCUUUUCCAAUAAAAGUACCAAAUUUGGACAUUAUAUAUUUAUUGGACUCAAAGACUAACUUAAAACCAUCUCUACAAUGUAGAGAGUCGCUCACUAGAUUCUUGUGAAUGGUUGUCAAAUGUUGCAUGUUCUUCAACUACAUGAUUUUUCCCGAAGUAAACUUCAAGUCGACCG
RNAcentral lists this long non-coding RNA (201 nucleotides) under Setaria viridis. RNAcentral's name for it is "long non-coding RNA (SVIR_LNC004066)". The record is from RNAcentral. Lineage: Eukaryota; Viridiplantae; Streptophyta; Magnoliopsida; Poales; Poaceae.